GACGAACGCUGGCGGCGUGCCUAAUACAUGCCAGUAGAACGCUGAAGGAGGAGCUUGCUUCUCUGGAUGAGUUGCGAACGGGUGAGUAACGCGUAGGUAACCUGCCUGGUAGCGGGGGAUAACUAUUGGAAACGAUAGCUAAUACCGCAUAAUAGUAGAUGUUGCAUGACAUUUGCUUAAAAGGUGCAAUUGCAUCACUACCAGAUGGACCUGCGUUGUAUUAGCUAGUUGGUGGGGUAACGGCUCACCAAGGCGACGAUACAUAGCCGACCUGAGAGGGUGAUCGGCCACACUGGGACUGAGACACGGCCCAGACUCCUACGGGAGGCAGCAGUAGGGGAUCUUCGGCAAUGGACGGAAGUCUGACCGAGCAACGCCGCGUGAGUGAAGAAGGUUUUCGGAUCGUAAAGCUCUGUUGUAAGAGAAGAACGAGUGUGAGAGUGGAAAGUUCACACUGUGACGGUAUCUUACCAGAAAGGGACGGCUAACUACGUG
RNAcentral lists this ribosomal RNA (495 nucleotides) under uncultured bacterium. Its description in RNAcentral is "partial 16S ribosomal RNA". It matches the Rfam family "Bacterial small subunit ribosomal RNA", at positions 28 to 507 of the family's 1533-position model. The record is from RNAcentral.